This 396-nucleotide ribosomal RNA is filed under the name uncultured bacterium. RNAcentral describes it as "partial 16S ribosomal RNA". It matches the Rfam family "Bacterial small subunit ribosomal RNA", at positions 523 to 918 of the family's 1533-position model. The record is from RNAcentral.
AUACGUAGGGGGCGAGCGUUGUCCGGAAUGAUUGGGCGUAAAGGGCGCGUAGGCGGCUUUGCAAGUCAGUAGUGGAAGUCCAUUUUUCAAGGAUGGAAGUGCUACAGAAACUGCGGAGCUUGAGUGCAGGAGAGGUUAUCGGAAUUCCCGGUGUAGCGGUGAAAUGCGUAGAGAUCGGGAGGAACACCAGUGGCGAAGGCGGGUAACGGGACUGAAACUGACGCUGAGACGCGAAAGUGUGGGGAGCAAACACGAUUAGAUACCCUGGUAGUCCACGCUGUAAACGAUGAUGACUAGGUGUGGGGGGAAUGAACCCUUCCGUGCCGCAGUUAACACAAUAAGUCAUCCACCUGGGGAGUACGGCAGCAAGGUUGAAACUCAAAGGAAUUGACGGGG